RNAcentral lists this ribosomal RNA (826 nucleotides) under uncultured Staphylococcus sp. RNAcentral describes it as "bacterial SSU rRNA". It matches the Rfam family "Bacterial small subunit ribosomal RNA", at positions 51 to 857 of the family's 1533-position model. Lineage: Bacteria; Bacillati; Bacillota; Bacilli; Caryophanales; Staphylococcaceae. The record is from RNAcentral.
CUAUAAUGCAGUCGAGCGAACAGAUGAGAAGCUUGCUUCUCUGAUGUUAGCGGCGGACGGGUGAGUAACACGUGGGUAACCUACCUAUAAGACUGGGAUAACUCCGGGAAACCGGGGCUAAUACCGGAUAAUAUUUUGAACCGCAUGGUUCAAUAGUGAAAGACGGUUUCGGCUGUCACUUAUAGAUGGACCCGCGCCGUAUUAGCUAGUUGGUAAGGUAAUGGCUUACCAAGGCGACGAUACGUAGCCGACCUGAGAGGGUGAUCGGCCACACUGGAACUGAGACACGGUCCAGACUCCUACGGGAGGCAGCAGUAGGGAAUCUUCCGCAAUGGGCGAAAGCCUGACGGAGCAACGCCGCGUGAGUGAUGAAGGUCUUCGGAUCGUAAAACUCUGUUGUUAGGGAAGAACAAAUUUGUUAGUAACUGAACAAGUCUUGACGGUACCUAACCAGAAAGCCACGGCUAACUACGUGCCAGCAGCCGCGGUAAUACGUAGGUGGCAAGCGUUAUCCGGAAUUAUUGGGCGUAAAGCGCGCGUAGGCGGUUUCUUAAGUCUGAUGUGAAAGCCCACGGCUCAACCGUGGAGGGUCAUUGGAAACUGGGAAACUUGAGUGCAGAAGAGGAGAGUGGAAUUCCAUGUGUAGCGGUGAAAUGCGCAGAGAUAUGGAGGAACACCAGUGGCGAAGGCGGCUCUCUGGUCUGUAACUGACGCUGAUGUGCGAAAGCGUGGGGAUCAAACAGGAUUAGAUACCCUGGUAGUCCACGCCGUAAACGAUGAGUGCUAAGUGUUAGGGGGUUUCCGCCCCUUAGUGCUGCAGCUAACG